Haplochromis burtoni (Burton's mouthbrooder) is the source of this 836-nucleotide long non-coding RNA. RefSeq lists it as uncharacterized. The transcript has 4 exons. The record is from RefSeq and is a predicted model, not a curated record. NCBI's taxonomy places the organism in Eukaryota, Metazoa, Chordata, Actinopteri, Cichliformes, Cichlidae.
AAUGCAACACGUGUUGCAGAGGACUCUUUCACUGCCCUCUGUGCCCCACUUUCAGCCCUACUGUCAGGGCAAAGAUUGAGGAGCAUCUAAGUGUGCAUAUAAAAUAAUGCUUUGCCUUUCAAAGAUAAAAUGAUAUGCCGGUGCAGGCUGCCUUGUAGGACAAAGGGACACUUUCACUGCCCCUGAUUGCUUUAAAAAUGUGUUUGUGUCAUUAUGAUAUUUUGGUGCCCAAAUUUAAAUAGUUGUGUAAUCAUAGUCUUCUUCACCCUAUUGUCAUAUUACAGAACCAUGUAUCUGCUUCAAGGGUCAUUGACUCAUUGGAGGGCUUAAGAAGAGUGAAGUUUCCUUCUCGGGAUACCAUUUUUCAUGCUUAUUGCCAUUUUGAGGCUUUGACUGACGCAGAAUACAUGUACUCCUGCAUAAACUGAGGGUUUCACCCCCCUGUGGUAGUUAUGGACUUACACAGAAAAGGGGUGUUCAAGUUAGCAGUGAGUGACCUCAAAGCCCCGGAAGACUUCAAUGGUGAACAUGACAUUGAAGGUUUUUGGAAAUCUAUUCACCUGGAAAUGAUAAGCCGUGGGUUUUUUCCAAGCGGUGUGAAGAAUCCAUUUUCCGUUCCACCAAGUUACACGCACUGGGCACCAUGGAUCGGGAGUGAAACUCGAACUAGUGACAUUGUGCUUAACACAGAGUUUAAAAAAGUAGGAACAAGCUCUUCACAUGAAGCAAAGCUUAGCAGUGUCACAGAAGACCGUCUGUUGGAUGAACUUGCCAAACAAAAGGUAACAUUGCUUUGAAGUUUUCAGAAUAUGUGACAUAAAGUUCUGGGGUUGUUC